Molecule: ribosomal RNA, 301 nt
Filed under: uncultured bacterium
Lineage: Bacteria
Description: partial 16S ribosomal RNA
Rfam family: Bacterial small subunit ribosomal RNA
Source: RNAcentral
CAGUCGCCGCGGUAAUACAGAGGGUGCGAGCGUUAAUCGGAUUUACUGGGCGUAAAGCGUGCGUAGGCGGCUUCUUAAGUCGGAUGUGAAAUCCCUGAGCUUAACUUAGUAAUUGCAUUCGAUACUGGGAAGCUAGAGUAUGGGAGAGGAUGGUAGAAUUCCAGGUGUAGCGGUGAAAUGCGUAGAGAUCUGGAGGAAUACCGAUGGCGAAGGCAGCCAUCUGGCCUAAUACUGACGCUGAGGUACGAAAGCAUGGGGAGCAAACAGGAUUAGAUACCCCAGUAGUCCCUGUCUCUUAUAC